AGAGGAUCAUGGCUCAGAAUCAACGCUGGCGGCGUGCCUAACACAUGCAAGUCGAACGCGAAAGUGCCCGCAAGGGUGCGAGUAGAGUGGCGGACGGGUGAGUAACACGUGGGUGACCUGGCCUGGUGGAGGGGGAUAACUUCUCGAAAGGGAAGCUAAUACCGCAUAAGCUCUCGGUAGCGAUAUUGAGAGGAAGGCCGAAAGGCGCCACUGGAGGGGCCCGCGCUCGAUUAGCUAGUUGGUGAGGUAAGGGCUCACCAAGGCUGCGAUCGAUAGCCGGUCUGAGAGGACGGACGGCCACACUGGAACUGAGACACGGUCCAGACUCCUACGGGAGGCAGCAGUGGGGAAUUUUGCGCAAUGGGCGAAAGCCCUGACGCAGCAACGCCGCGUGGAGGAUGAAGGUUUUCGGAUCGUAAACUCCUGUCCCCAGGGAAGAAGAAAGUGACGGUACCUGGGGAGGAAGCCCCGGCUAACUCCGUGCCAGCCGCAGC
This 494-nucleotide ribosomal RNA is filed under the name uncultured bacterium. RNAcentral's name for it is "bacterial SSU rRNA". It matches the Rfam family "Bacterial small subunit ribosomal RNA", at positions 8 to 518 of the family's 1533-position model. The record is from RNAcentral.